CCUUCGGGGACAAAGUGACAGGUGGUGCAUGGUUGUCGUCAGCUCGUGUCGUGAGAUGUUGGGUUAAGUCCCGCAACGAGCGCAACCCUUGAUUUUAGUUGCCAGCAUUUAGUUGGGCACUCUAAAGUGACUGCCGGUGCAAGCCGGAGGAAGGUGGGGAUGACGUCAAAUCAUCAUGCCCCUUAUGACCUGGGCUACACACGUGCUACAAUGGAUAGUACAAAGGGUCGCGAAGCCGCGAGGUGGAGCUAAUCCCAUAAAACUAUUCUCAGUUCGGAUUGUAGGCUGCAACUCGCCUACAUGAAGCCGGAAUCGCUAGUAAUCGUGGAUCAGCAUGCCACGGUGAAUACGUUCCCGGGCCUUGUACACACCGCCCGUCACACCACGAGAGUUUGUAACACCCGAAGUCGGUAGGGUAACCUUUAUGGAGCCAGCCGCCGAAGGUGGGACAGAUAAUUGGGGUGAAGUCGUAACAAGGUAGCCGUAUCGGAAGGUGCGGCUGGAUC
This 506-nucleotide ribosomal RNA is filed under the name Listeria monocytogenes. RNAcentral's name for it is "bacterial SSU rRNA". It matches the Rfam family "Bacterial small subunit ribosomal RNA", at positions 1017 to 1524 of the family's 1533-position model. Lineage: Bacteria; Bacillati; Bacillota; Bacilli; Caryophanales; Listeriaceae. The record is from RNAcentral.